UACGGAGGGUGCAAGCGUUGUUCGGAAUUACUGGGCGUAAAGAGCGUGUAGGCGGUAUGGUAAGUCAGAUGUGAAAGCCCUGGGCUUAACCUAGGAAGUGCAUUUGAUACUGCCAUUCUUGAGUAUGGGAGAGGAGAGUGGAAUUCCCAGUGUAGAGGUGAAAUUCGUAGAUAUUGGGAGGAACAUCCGUGGCGAAGGCGACUCUCUGGACCAAUACUGACGCUGAGACGCGAAAGCGUGGGUAGCAAACAGG
This 253-nucleotide ribosomal RNA is filed under the name uncultured bacterium. RNAcentral's name for it is "partial 16S ribosomal RNA". It matches the Rfam family "Bacterial small subunit ribosomal RNA", at positions 524 to 776 of the family's 1533-position model. The record is from RNAcentral.